Molecule: ribosomal RNA, 259 nt
Filed under: uncultured bacterium
Lineage: Bacteria
Description: partial 16S ribosomal RNA
Rfam family: Bacterial small subunit ribosomal RNA
Source: RNAcentral
AGCGAACGCUGGCGGCAGGCUUAACACAUGCAAGUCGAACGGACCCUUCGGGGUUAGUGGCGGACGGGUGAGUAACACGUGGGAACGUGCCUUUAGGUUCGGAACAACACAGGGAAACUUGUGCUAAUACCGGAUGUGCCCUUCGGGGAAGGAUUUAUCGCCUUUAGUAGCGGCCCGCGUCUGAUUAGCUUGUUGGUGGGGUAAAGGACUCACCAAGGCUACGAUCAGUAGCUGGUCUGAGAGGAUGGCCAGCCACAUU